This 433-nucleotide ribosomal RNA is filed under the name uncultured bacterium. Its description in RNAcentral is "partial 16S ribosomal RNA". It matches the Rfam family "Bacterial small subunit ribosomal RNA", at positions 29 to 507 of the family's 1533-position model. The record is from RNAcentral.
AACGAACGCUGGCGGCAUGCCUAACACAUGCAAGUCGAACGAGACCUUCGGGUCUAGUGGCGCACGGGUGCGUAACGCGUGGGAACCUGCCCUUAGGUUCGGAAUACCUCCCCGAAAGGGGUGCUAAUACGGGAUAAUGUCUUCGGCCCAAAGAUUUAUCGCCUUUGGAUGGGCCCGCGUUGGAUUAGCUAGCUGGUAGGGUAAAAGCCUACCAAGGCGACGAUCCAUAGCUGGUCUGAGAGGAUGAUCAGCCACACUGGGACUGAGACACGGCCCAGACUCCUACGGGAGGCAGCAGUGGGGAAUAUUGGACAAUGGGCGAAAGCCUGAUCCAGCAAUGCCGCGUGAGUGAUGAAGGCCUUAGGGUUGUAAAGCUCUUUUACCCGGGAUGAUAAUGACAGUACCGGGAGAAUAAGCUCCGGCUAACUCCGUG